Molecule: transfer RNA, 72 nt
Filed under: Camelus bactrianus (Bactrian camel)
Lineage: Eukaryota; Metazoa; Chordata; Mammalia; Artiodactyla; Camelidae
Also listed under: 1 other name
Rfam family: tRNA
About the family: Transfer RNA (tRNA) molecules are approximately 80 nucleotides in length.
Source: Rfam by way of RNAcentral
AAGGGUAUAGCUCAGUGGUAGAGUGCAUGCCUCACACGCAUGAAGUCCAGGGUUCAAGCUCCAGGACCUCCA